Molecule: small nuclear RNA, 141 nt
Organism: Aotus nancymaae (Ma's night monkey)
Lineage: Eukaryota; Metazoa; Chordata; Mammalia; Primates; Aotidae
Gene: U4
Rfam family: U4 spliceosomal RNA
About the family: U4 small nuclear RNA (U4 snRNA) is a component of the major U2-dependent spliceosome. The structure of U4 snRNA from yeast and human has been reported.
Source: Ensembl
AGCUUUGUGCAGUGGCAGUAUCAUAGCCAAUGAAGUUUAUCUGAGGCCUGAUUAUUGCUACGUGAAAACUUUUCUUAAUACUCCUCCAUGACAACUUGAAAUAUAGUCAGCAUUGGCAAUUUUUGACAGUCUUUACAGAGA